RNAcentral lists this ribosomal RNA (1737 nucleotides) under Salmonella enterica. Its description in RNAcentral is "partial 23S ribosomal RNA". It matches the Rfam family "Bacterial large subunit ribosomal RNA", at positions 1221 to 2925 of the family's 2925-position model. The record is from RNAcentral. Lineage: Bacteria; Pseudomonadati; Pseudomonadota; Gammaproteobacteria; Enterobacterales; Enterobacteriaceae. RNAcentral also lists the same sequence under 1 other name.
UCGUUGGGUAGGGGAGCGUUCUGUAAGCCUGCGAAGGUGGCCUGUGAGGGUUGCUGGAGGUAUCAGAAGUGCGAAUGCUGACAUAAGUAACGAUAAUGCGGGUGAAAAACCCGCACGCCGGAAGACCAAGGGUUCCUGUCCAACGUUAAUCGGGGCAGGGUGAGUCGACCCCUAAGGCGAGGCCGAAAGGCGUAGUCGAUGGGAAACAGGUUAAUAUUCCUGUACCUGGUGUUACUGCGAAGGGGGGACGGAGAAGGCUAUGUUGGCCGGGCGACGGUUGUCCCGGUUUAAGCGUGUAGGCUGGUUUUCCAGGCAAAUCCGGAAAAUCAAGGCUGAGGCGUGACGACGAGGCACUACGGUGCUGAAGCAACAAAUGCCCUGCUUCCAGGAAAAGCCUCUAAGCCUCAGGUAACAUCAGAUCGUACCCGAAACCGACACAGGUGGUCAGGUAGAGAAUACCAAGGCGCUUGAGAGAACCCGGGUGAAGGAACUAGGCAAAAUGGUGCCGUAACUUCGGGAGAAGGCACGCUGACACGUAGGUGAAGCGGUUUACCCGUGGAGCUGAAGUCAGUCGAAGAUACCAGCUGGCUGCAACUGUUUAUUAAAAACACAGCACUGUGCAAACACGAAAGUGGACGUAUACGGUGUGACGCCUGCCCGGUGCCGGAAGGUUAAUUGAUGGGGUCAGCGCAAGCGAAGCUCCUGAUCGAAGCCCCGGUAAACGGCGGCCGUAACUAUAACGGUCCUAAGGUAGCGAAAUUCCUUGUCGGGUAAGUUCCGACCUGCACGAAUGGCGUAAUGAUGGCCAGGCUGUCUCCACCCGGGACUCAGUGAAAUUGAACUCGCUGUGAAGAUGCAGUGUACCCGCGGCAAGACGGAAAGACCCCGUGAACCUUUACUAUAGCUUGACACUGAACACUGGUCCUUGAUGUGCAGGAUAGGUGGGAGGCUUUGAAGUGUGGACGCCAGUCUGCAUGGAGCCGUCCUUGAAAUACCACCCUUUAAUGGCUGGUGUUCUAACGUAGACCCGUGAACCGGGUUGCGGACAGUGUCUGGUGGGUAGUUUGACUGGGGCGGUCUCCUCCUAAAGCGUAACGGAGGAGCACGAAGGUUGGCUAAUCCUGGUCGGACAUCAGGAGGUUAGUGCAAUGGCAUAAGCCAGCUUGACUGCGAGCGUGACGGCGCGAGCAGGUGCGAAAGCAGGUCAUAGUGAUCCGGUGGUUCUGAAUGGAAGGGCCAUCGCUCAACGGAUAAAAGGUACUCCGGGGAUAACAGGCUGAUACCGCCCAAGAGUUCAUAUCGACGGCGGUGUUUGGCACCUCGAUGUCGGCUCAUCACAUCCUGGGGCUGAAGUAGGUCCCAAGGGUAUGGCUGUUCGCCAUUUAAAGUGGUACGCGAGCUGGGUUUAGAACGUCGUGAGACAGUUCGGUCCCUAUCUGCCGUGGGCGCUGGAGAACUGAGGGGGGCUGCUCCUAGUACGAGAGGACCGGAGUGGACGCAUCACUGGUGUUCGGGUUGUCAUGCCAAUGGCACUGCCCGGUAGCUAAAUGCGGAAGAGAUAAGUGCUGAAAGCAUCUAAGCACGAAACUUGCCCCGAGAUGAGUUCUCCCUGAGACUACAAGUCUCCUGAAGGAACGUUGAAGACGACGACGUUGAUAGGCCGGGUGUGUAAGCGCAGCGAUGCGUUGAGCUAACCGGUACUAAUGAACCGUGAGGCUUAACCUUACAACGCCGAAG